UCGCCUGGGCGCCCGGGCCCUCCGCGCUUUGGGUGCUGCGAGGUCUCCCAGUGGGCUGGGGCCCGUGUGGGUGAGGGGCCUGCCCGAGCCUUAGGAGAGUUGCAGUUGUCCGGAGAAGACCGAAAAAGGGCCUGGAUAAACCUCUUUCCUUUGCAGAACACCUGCAAAUAUCCGUUCUUGGGAGAACCACUCGGGCUUCGGGUUACUAACCCUUCACACUUAGUAGGGCCAUCUGGGGCAAAACAGCCCUAGAAGAGGAGGCGACUUUAACAUCAGAACACUCAGAUUCGUUUCCUGAGCUGCUGCUUCCUAGCUGUGACAAGUCCUUGCGAGCCUCAUUUUCGUCCUCUGAAACGGGCACAAUAUUGAAGUGGGGAAUUGAGGAGAUACAGUAUGGAGAAGAUAGAGCAAGGGUCGCGGAGCUGGAUGACUCCUAGCGUGAGACUCAGUUGAGCAGCCGGGAGAGGGGUCAGAGAGUGAGAUAAGAUCCAACUUUGGCAUCGGAAAGUGUUUUGAAGGAGUGGACAUCAGACUGGGGUUUAAAAGAAAGGUGGGACUGUAAUCCCCAGCGUUCGGGAGGCUGAGGCAGGAGGAUCAUUGCAAGUUCCAGGCCAGCCUGGGCUACAAAGGACCACCAGGGGCUUGUAAGAAGACGCUGGAAGGCCAGGCAAGAGACGGCUCUGCUCUCCUCAGUCUGCACUGCCUGGACACGUUCUGCUUCUCGGGUUGAUUUUUGUCUUUUGCUAAGCAGUGGCUUCUGACUGCUAAGGAUUAUUCAGUGAUGUGGGUCCCAGAGAUCAAGACAGGCUCAAGAUGCCAAAGGGAGCAACCCAUAUAGCAUUUCCACCCCAGGGAUCCAGCUGAGAAUUUCCUUGGGAUCUAUGAGGAAGUCACAGGUCUGACCUGCACCUAAAGGAGGAGACUCUAAAGGCUGUGACUAUCAGGAAGGUGGCAUCAUCGGGGGUGCUUUUAUACCAAGACUCGCACACAAGUCGCUAUCUGGGAAUCUCCCUUUCCUCACGGCAGCCCUGACAACCGCACGCCGAUCAGCAGCUCCUCCUCACUCACACAUCUAUCUGCAACGAUCACAACAAUAAUGUAACCCCUGGCCCCUAAUGAGGAGUUUCUCUGACCCCGGCUCCGUUCUUGGUGCUUUGUGCACAUUCAGUGAACAGUCUGUAGUUCUUCACACAGCCUGCAAAGCUUUCUUCCAGCAAUGAUGUAUUAGGGUCCCUUCUGCACUUUCCUAUUACACAGGGAAGAACUCAGUAGAGGGCCCCCCAUGAUGCCACCUUCCUGAUCUUCACAGUCUCCUGCCCACUGCAAGGCAAUGCUCAGUGAAUAGCGGCAUCACAGCCUGCUGCACAUGUGUCCUACGACUGCUGUGGCCAGUGACCGCAAGCUGGGCCGCUCAAAGCAUCAAAAAUUCAUUCUGUCAGAACCCCUACAUGCAGAAGUCCAAAAAUCAAGGAGUCAGCCAGCAAGGUCGGUUCCUUCUGGAGGGUUAGAAGGAGAACCUGCUCAUGCCUCUCCCCUAGGUGACUGUGGGAAUAUUCAGGUUCCUCGCCUGGCAGCUGCAUCUCUCUGGUCACUGCCUCCAUCACCACAUGGCCUCUUCCUUGUGUCUCUGUGCCCUUGCCUCUCUUUGCAAGCACACCCAUCAUUGGGCCUGGGGCCCAGCUUCAUCGAGCAUGACCUCAUUAUGCCUGAAUUAUGCCUGCAAAGAACCUUCUUCCAAGUCAGCUUGCAACCUGGGGUUCUGGUAGACCUGGAUGUGGAGAGGCCCUAUUCAACCCCCUCCAUGUGCUGUCACAAGCAUGGGUCCUUGAAGAGGAUACAGCAGAGGAGACAGGAGCCUACUGUGAUCAAGUUCAGGUCCAGCCCAGAACUUACCUGCAAAACGCUUGGUGGAGAAAAGAGAUCCAAGUCAGAGCAAUGCAGCAAUGUAUCGAUAGCAGUGAGAUUUGAACUUUGGGCUGGCAGACUUUGUAGCAGAACCAAGCCUGAGCAACGGCCCGACCCACGACCACAUGAGGCGUGACUACUUUAGGUGAUACAAGAAGCAGGAGUUGAAGGGGUGGCCUAUGGAGGGCCCUGAGCUAAAUGAGCACCCGGAACUCCGCCUGCAGGCCACGAGGCACGCCUGGAGAUGCGUGAGCUAAGGAAAGAAGCAAAGUCAGCAGUCUCCUGAGUGCUGCCAUGCUUCAUGGUGACCUCAGUGCCCACUACUUUAGCUUUAAAGUCCUGGGCAGUCUCCAAGGCCAGCUCGACUAGUCGCUCUAACCCCUGCUCACAUUGCUGGACGCACUUGCAGAAAAAAUACGCAGGGCCACGCAACACAGCCAGUUGCGUGUCAGAGUUUCGUGGUCACCACGAGACCAGAAGCUUUUGCAAGUAGAGGUUUUAUUUGAGCUGUGCCUCCUCUGAAGCAUAUGCGAUGGCCAUUUGGAAAGAGAUAAAAUUAUCUCAGCUUCGCACCCUGCUCGAGAAUAAACACCAAGUGGAUCAGAGCGCUCAGUGUCAAGAGUGACACUGCACAAGCUCUAGAAGGGGAGAUGGGUGAAGAAAAUCUCUCUAGAAAGGGCUACACAGGCAGAAGCAAUAGGAGACUGACAAGUGCGAUGACCUCAGUAACGAAGAAAAAGCAAGAACACGUUUUGUGUGGCAAAAAAGAAGAUAAAGCUAAGUCAGAAGACAGAUGAUAAGCUGAGAUGAAACAUUUCCACUUACAUCCCAAACAACGCUUCCUAUGGUAAUAUGCAAAGAGCUAAAAAUUUACUUCAAAAUAAAAUCAGAUCAAGCAAGGCAUGUUGGGACACACCUGUAAUCUCAGCACU
Long non-coding RNA from Chinchilla lanigera (long-tailed chinchilla), 2837 nucleotides. RefSeq lists it as uncharacterized. The transcript has 4 exons. The record is from RefSeq and is a predicted model, not a curated record. NCBI's taxonomy places the organism in Eukaryota, Metazoa, Chordata, Mammalia, Rodentia, Chinchillidae.